GAUGAACGCUGGCGGCGUGCCUAAUACAUGCAAGUCGAACGCUGAAGCUUGGUGCUUGCACCGAGCGGAUGAGUUGCGAACGGGUGAGUAACGCGUAAGUAACCUGCCUCUUAGCGGGGGAUAACUAUUGGAAACGAUAGCUAAUACCGCAUAAAAGUCGAUAUCGCAUGAUAUUGAUUUGAAAGGUGCAAAUGCAUCACUAAGAGAUGGACCUGCGUUGUAUUAGCUAGUUGGUGAGGUAACGGCUCACCAAGGCGACGAUACAUAGCCGACCUGAGAGGGUGAUCGGCCACACUGGGACUGAGACACGGCCCAGACUCCUACGGGAGGCAGCAGUAGGGAAUCUUCGGCAAUGGGGGCAACCCUGACCGAGCAACGCCGCGUGAGUGAAGAAGGUUUUCGGAUCGUAAAGCUCUGUUGUAAGAGAAGAACGAGUGUGAGAGUGGAAAGUUCACACUGUGACGGUAACUUACCAGAAAGGGACGGCUAACUACGUG
Molecule: ribosomal RNA, 497 nt
Filed under: uncultured bacterium
Lineage: Bacteria
Description: partial 16S ribosomal RNA
Rfam family: Bacterial small subunit ribosomal RNA
Source: RNAcentral